CACGUAGGGUGCGAGCGUUGUCCGGAAUUAUUGGGCGUAAAGAGCUCGUAGGCGGUGUGUCACGUCGGCCGUGAAAACCUGCAGCUUAACUGUGGGCGUGCGGUCGAUACGGGCAUCACUGGAGUUCGGCAGGGGAGACUGGAAUUCCUGGUGUAGCGGUGAAAUGCGCAGAUAUCAGGAGGAACACCGGUGGCGAAGGCGGGUCUCUGGGCCGGAACUGACGCUGAGGAGCGAAAGCGUGGGGAGCGAACAGG
This 254-nucleotide ribosomal RNA is filed under the name uncultured bacterium. RNAcentral's name for it is "partial 16S ribosomal RNA". It matches the Rfam family "Bacterial small subunit ribosomal RNA", at positions 524 to 776 of the family's 1533-position model. The record is from RNAcentral.